GAUCUGCUUCCCGCUUGCCUCUCAUUAGUUUCUUUGUUAGGAAUCCAGGUUGUAUUUUAGUAUUUGACAUUUAACCUUGAUACCUUAGAAAGGAGCUAAUGAGAGGCAAGUGAGAGGCAGGUC
This 123-nucleotide microRNA precursor is filed under the name Podarcis lilfordi (Lilford's wall lizard). The record is from RNAcentral. Lineage: Eukaryota; Metazoa; Chordata; Lepidosauria; Squamata; Lacertidae.